This 433-nucleotide ribosomal RNA is filed under the name uncultured bacterium. RNAcentral describes it as "partial 16S ribosomal RNA". It matches the Rfam family "Bacterial small subunit ribosomal RNA", at positions 28 to 507 of the family's 1533-position model. The record is from RNAcentral.
AGCGAACGCUGGCGGCAGGCUUAACACAUGCAAGUCGAGCGGGCCCUUCGGGGUCAGCGGCAGACGGGUGAGUAACACGUGGGAACGUACCCUUUGGUUCGGAAUAACGCUGGGAAACUAGCGCUAAUACCGGAUACGCCCCUUCGGGGAAAGGCUUGCUGCCGAAGGAUCGGCCCGCGUCUGAUUAGCUAGUUGGUGGGGUAAUGGCCUACCAAGGGGUCGAUCGGUAGCUGGUCUGAGGGGAUGAGAAGCCACACUGGGACGAGGACACGGCCCAGACUCCUGCGGGAGGCAGCAGUGGGGAAUAUUGGACAAUGGGCGCAAGCCUGAUCCAGCCAUGCCGCGUGAGUGAUGAAGGCCUUAGGGUUGUAAAGCUCUUUUGUCCGGGACGAUAAUGACGGUACCGGAAGAAUAAGCCCCGGCUAACUUCGCG